RNAcentral lists this non-coding RNA (1281 nucleotides) under Rhodnius prolixus. RNAcentral describes it as "Eukaryotic large subunit ribosomal RNA". It matches the Rfam family "Eukaryotic large subunit ribosomal RNA", at positions 2330 to 3401 of the family's 3401-position model. The record is from Rfam by way of RNAcentral. Lineage: Eukaryota; Metazoa; Arthropoda; Insecta; Hemiptera; Reduviidae.
AGAUUCCCUCUGUCCCUAUCUACUAUCUAGCGAAACCACGGCCAAGGGAACGGGCUUGGAAAAAUCAGCGGGGAAAGAAGACCCUGUUGAGCUUGACUCUAGUCUGGUACUGUAAGAAAACAUGAGAGGUGUAGCAUAAGUGGGAGGUAGUUUUUUUAAACUGCCGACAAUGAAAUACCACUACUUUCAUUGUUUCCUUACUUACUCGGUGAGGCGGAGGGCGUCCGUCGGGGUGAUACCACCUCGGCGUGACGGUAUUCUCGUGCCAAACGCCAAGGGUUGUCGACGUUCGAUCGUACGCCUUGUCGCGUUUAAGAUGUGGAUAUUCCUAAACGGAAUUGAUGCGUCUUAUUCGUUGUGCAAUGGCGGAUUCGGUCGUAUCGUUCGGCAACAUACUCCCUAGCGUGAUCCGAUUCGAGGACACUGCCAGGCGGGGAGUUUGACUGGGGCGGUACAUCUGUCAAAAAAUAACGCAGGUGUCCUAAGGUCAGCUCAGCGAGGACAGAAACCUCGCGUAGAGCAAAAGGGCAAAUGCUGGCUUGAUCCCGAUGCUCAGUGGGCAUAGGGACUGCGAAAGCACGGCCCAUCGAUCCUUUUGGCUUGAAGAGUUUUCAGCAAGAGGUGUCAGAAAAGUUACCACAGGGAUAACUGGCUUGUGGCGGUCCAAGCGUUCAUAGCGACGUCGCUUUUUGAUCCUUCGAUGUCGGCUCUUCCUAUCAUUGCGAAGCAGAAUUCGCCAAGCGUCGGAUUGUUCACCCGCCAAUAGGGAACGUGAGCUGGUUUUAGACCGUCGUGAGACAGGUUAGUUUUACCCUACUGAUAACAGGUCGUUGCCGUAGUAAUCCUGCUUAGUACGAGAGGAACCGCAGGUUCGGGCAUUUGGUACACGCACUCGGUCGACAGGCCGGUGGUGCGAUGCCACCGUCCGCGGGAUUAUGCCUGAACGCCUCUAAGGCCGAAUCCCGACUAUGGUUCAACGAUUUAACAAUGGGUCCCGUGAGUCGAAAGGCUCAAAACAAUGUGACUUUAAUAGGCGGCCGGUUUAAACGGCUGUCGCCUGAGCCUUGUGGCUAAAAAUUCCAUUGUGUAAUUAAAUAUAUAGUAAAUUCUAGAUAUUUAAUUGGUUUUUUUAGCGUAACAUGGUUGAACCCUUCGGGGAGUUCGAUGUCGGGACCCAGAAUCGUCUGUAGACGACUUUUGUACCGGGCGGGGUGUUGUACUCGGGAGAGCAGUUAACUCGCUGCGAUCUGUUGAGACUCAGCCCUAGCUGGGGAGAUUCGU